RNAcentral lists this ribosomal RNA (497 nucleotides) under uncultured bacterium. RNAcentral's name for it is "partial 16S ribosomal RNA". It matches the Rfam family "Bacterial small subunit ribosomal RNA", at positions 28 to 507 of the family's 1533-position model. The record is from RNAcentral.
GAUGAACGCUGGCGGCGUGCCUAAUACAUGCAAGUAGAACGCUGAAGCUUGGUGCUUGCACCGAGCGGAUGAGUUGCGAACGGGUGAGUAACGCGUAGGUAACCUGCCUCUUAGCGGGGGAUAACUAUUGGAAACGAUAGCUAAUACCGCAUAAAAGUCGAUAUCGCAUGAUAUUGAUUUGAAAGGUGCAAAUGCAUCACUAAGAGAUGGACCUGCGUUGUAUUAGCUAGUUGGUGAGGUAACGGCUCACCAAGGCGACGAUACAUAGCCGACCUGAGAGGGUGAUCGGCCACACUGGGACUGAGACACGGCCCAGACUCCUACGGGAGGCAGCAGUAGGGAAUCUUCGGCAAUGGGGGCAACCCUGACCGAGCAACGCCGCGUGAGGGAAGAAGGUUUUCGGAUCGUAAAGCUCUGUUGUAAGAGAAGAACGAGUGUGAGAGUGGAAAGUUCACACUGUGACGGUAACUUACCAGAAAGGGACGGCUAACUACGUG